CCUACGGGAGGCAGCAGUGAGGAAUAUUGGUCAAUGGACGAGAGUCUGAACCAGCCAAGUAGCGUGAAGGAUGACUGCCCUAUGGGUUGUAAACUUCUUUUAUAUGGGAAUAAAACAGGGUAUGCAUACCCUCUUGUAUGUACCAUAUGAAUAAGGAUCGGCUAACUCCGUGCCAGCAGCCGCGGUAAUACGGAGGGUCCGAGCGUUGUCCGGAUUUAUUGGGUUUAAAGGGAGCGUAGGUGGAUUGUUAAGUCAGUUGUGAAAGUUUGCGGCUCAACCGUAAAAUUGCAGUUGAAACUGGCAGUCUUGAGUACAGUAGAGGUGGGCGGAAUUCGUGGUGUAGCGGUGAAAUGCUUAGAUAUCACGAAGAACUCAGAUUGCGAAGGCAGCUCACUGGACUGCAACUGACACUGAUGCUCGAAAGUGUGGGUAGCAAACAGGAUUAGAUACCCGGGUAGUC
RNAcentral lists this ribosomal RNA (460 nucleotides) under uncultured bacterium. RNAcentral describes it as "partial 16S ribosomal RNA". It matches the Rfam family "Bacterial small subunit ribosomal RNA", at positions 338 to 795 of the family's 1533-position model. The record is from RNAcentral.